This 148-nucleotide small RNA is filed under the name Sphenodon punctatus (tuatara). Its description in RNAcentral is "TUC338 (ENSSPUG00000009155.1)". The record is from RNAcentral. Lineage: Eukaryota; Metazoa; Chordata; Lepidosauria; Sphenodontia; Sphenodontidae.
UUGACAGCCCUGGAGAUUAAAGCCUUCUUUUUAUCCACAGAACAGGUACAGCACGGGCAUCGUGGGUACCCAAACAUCCCCCGUUCUGACCCGAGGUGGCCACUUCUAGGGGAAUUCAGUUUCCAUGUUUAGUCAAUUCUUGGUCUUU